UGCCUUAGUAGCGGCGAGUGAAGCGGCAAAAGCUCAAAUUUGAAAUCUGGCUCUUUCAGAGUCCGAGUUGUAAUUUGAAGAAGGUAUCUUUGGGUCUGGCUCUUGUCUAUGUUUCUUGGAACAGAACGUCACAGAGGGUGAGAAUCCCGUGCGAUGAGAUGAUCCAGGCCUAUGUAAAGUUCCUUCGAAGAGUCGAGUUGUUUGGGAAUGCAGCUCUAAGUGGGUGGUAAAUUCCAUCUAAAGCUAAAUAUUGGCGAGAGACCGAUAGCGAACAAGUACAGUGAUGGAAAGAUGAAAAGAACUUUGAAAAGAGAGUGAAAAAGUACGUGAAAUUGUUGAAAGGGAAGGGCUUGAGAUCAGACUUGGUAUUUUGUAUGUUACUUCUUCGGGGGUGGCCUCUACAGUUUAUCGGGCCAGCAUCAGUUUGGGCGGUAGGAGAAUUGCGUUGGAAUGUGGCACGGCUUCGGUUGUGUGUUAUAGCCUUCGUCGAUACUGCCAGCCUAGACUGAGGACUGCGGUUUAUACCUAGGAUGUUGGCAUAAUGAUCUUAAGUCGCCCGUCUUGAACACGGACCA
RNAcentral lists this ribosomal RNA (575 nucleotides) under Candida tropicalis. RNAcentral's name for it is "eukaryotic LSU rRNA". It matches the Rfam family "Eukaryotic large subunit ribosomal RNA", at positions 76 to 668 of the family's 3401-position model. The record is from RNAcentral. Lineage: Eukaryota; Fungi; Ascomycota; Pichiomycetes; Serinales; Debaryomycetaceae.